UAGGGAAUCUUCGGCAAUGGGGGGAACCCUGACCGAGCAACGCCGCGUGAGUGAAGAAGGUUUUCGGAUCGUAAAGCUCUGUUGGUAAGGAAGAACGAGUGUGAGAAUGGAAAGUUCAUACUGUGACGGUACUUAACCAGAAAGGGACGGCUAACUACGUGCCAGCAGCCGCGGUAAUACGUAGGUCCCGAGCGUUGUCCGGAUUUAUUGGGCGUAAAGCGAGCGCAGGCGGUUAGAUAAGUCUGAAGUUAAAGGCAGUGGCUCAACCAUUGUAGGCUUUGGAAACUGUUUAACUUGAGUGCAGAAGGGGAGAGUGGAAUUCCAUGUGUAGCGGUGAAAUGCGUAGAUAUAUGGAGGAACACCGGUGGCGAAAGCGGCUCUCUGGUCUGUAACUGACGCUGAGGCUCGAAAGCGUGGGGAGCGAACAGG
Molecule: ribosomal RNA, 429 nt
Filed under: Bacteroidota bacterium
Lineage: Bacteria; Pseudomonadati; Bacteroidota
Description: Bacteroidetes bacterium partial 16S ribosomal RNA
Rfam family: Bacterial small subunit ribosomal RNA
Source: RNAcentral